RNAcentral lists this ribosomal RNA (394 nucleotides) under uncultured bacterium. Its description in RNAcentral is "partial 16S ribosomal RNA". It matches the Rfam family "Bacterial small subunit ribosomal RNA", at positions 338 to 729 of the family's 1533-position model. The record is from RNAcentral.
CCUACGGGUGGCAGCAGUGAGGAAUAUUGGUCAAUGGACGGAAGUCUGAACCAGCCAUGCCGCGUGCAGGAAGACGGCUCUAUGAGUUGUAAACUGUUUUUGUACAAGGGUAAACCUGAAUACGUAUAAUCAGCUGAAAGUACUGUACGAAUAAGGAUCGGCUAACUACGUGCCAGCAGCCGCGGUAAUACGGAGGGUCCAAGCGUUACCCGGAUUUAUUGGGUUUAACGGGUGCGUAGGCGGAUUGAUAAGUCGGAGGUGAAAUGUCCGAGCUUAACUCGGGAACUGAAUUGAAUACUGUUGGUCUAGAGAGUAGAUGCGGUAGGCGGAAUGUAAGGUGUAGCGGUGAAAUGCUUAGAGAUCAUGCAGAACACCGAUUGCGAAGGCAGCUUAC